Molecule: long non-coding RNA, 9753 nt
Organism: Aedes albopictus (Asian tiger mosquito)
Lineage: Eukaryota; Metazoa; Arthropoda; Insecta; Diptera; Culicidae
Exons: 2
Source: RefSeq, a predicted model, not a curated record
UGACCAUUUAUCUGUCCAUAAUGACACCACUAACAAAUUCGUUUAUGAACCUCCGAUAAAAAGAAAAAAAGAUUACAAAUUUGAAUAAAAAAAAACAAACAUUCCUUUUGAACCAACAACACCCCCUGCUAGAAAUUUUCCUCAUUUAGGCUCUUUUCAACGAACCAUACCUGGAUUUCAAAAAAUGAUAAAGAAGCCUUAUCUAGUAUAAAUAAUGCCAAUAUGAAUGUUUCUUCUAGAAAUACUACACAUACUAAUGAUAAAACAUCAAUUUUGACAAUUUUUGAAGAGUUGAUUGAAAUUUAGGGUUUUAGUAGCAGUUUUUGGAAAUCAUUGAAAAGGGAAAUUUUACCGCUUUUAGCAAACCUUUUUGAAAAACUGAACUCCUUUGAACCCUUCAUUGCUUCACUUUUUUCAUUGUAAUGGCUUCCAAUAAUACUUCAGUCAAACCUCCAUGAGUUGAUAUUGAAGGGACCAUCGACUCAAGGAAAUAUCGAGUGGUGGAACAAAAAUCUUUUGGGAGGCUUUUUGGGGUGACCAUCAUAGUAACCCAGAAAUUAUUUUUUUAGUAUGGAAAAAUUUAUAGAAAAUUACACAUUUUUCAAUGGAAUUGCCGCAGUAAUUUCAAAAAUAAAUGAACGAAAAGUAUUGAUUUCAGUGCAUAAUUUAGAUAUAAUUUGUUUAAAUGAAACAUGAUUAAUUGAAACCAUUUUUUUCUGCAUUCCAUCUUUCUAUAUGGCUUGGAAAGAAAGAAACAAUUCCUUUGAAGGAGUAUUGGUUGACAUUCAAGAGGAAAAUUUAUUAUUUGAAUUUAUCAAUACACACAUAAGUUGAAUAAGUUAUAGCAGAAAAGUGCCCAAAAUAGGACCCCUGCCGAGAUGGUUCCACUUCCCUACCUUUAUUUUAGAGUAAAUUACAGUAUUUUUUCGAAUAUAUCACGAUUAAAAAAAUAAUUUCGUGAUAUACUGGAGCGUGGUAAAAUAGAUUUUUUUUCGAAUAUAUUUUGUAAUCAAUAUACACAUACAUAAAAAAUAAACACACAAAAAACAUCAAAUCGUGUUAUCCGUAACGAAUUCCUAACUUUAUGCUUAUUAAGAGUCCAUUAGAUAUGGACAAAUAAAAAAAUAUAUAUGCCAUAUUAGUCCGACAUUCACCUAAGAUUAUCAUGAUUCACAUUGUGUUGGCCAUUUGUUGGGCUUGUUUGGGCAGAUAUUUAUCUCGUAAUGGAAGGCUGAUACAAAAUUUAUGUUGACACAACCCAUAUUGUGCGGGUAUUCCCAUAUCGAACACGACAAUUAGGAACGUUCUCACAGUCGAAUGUGUCGAAACUCAAAAGUGACAGAGUGGCACGUAUUUUUGCUGACUCGCUCACAUUUCGUCUUCGUUCCUUUCUUUUUUGCAACGAUGCCAGCUGAAGGUUGCAUCAAAAAUGCAAUAGUUUGUCCAAAAGUGACAGUACAGGAGACUCAAUUGACGAGGUUCGUCGAUAAGGGAGUUUCAAAUAGGGUGUCGAAUCGACAUUCGAAUCCAGUGACCAAAGAAACCCACAAUAUCGCGCCACUUGGGCGGUGGCUUCUAUAUUCGUCUGUUUUCCACUAUAACUCAGUCAAUUUUGAACCAGUUGACUUGAAAUGUUGCCAUAUUCGCUUUCUCACCAACACACCAACACAUGAAAUUCAAACCUAUUUAUUUUUUAAACUUAUUCGAUCCUUCAAAUGGCAAAGCUUGUCAUACCAUAAAAACGAAUGCAGUAAGCAGUAAUUAGACAUUUUGUUUGCCUAACGUUUGUUGCUACUGGCGUUGUUGAGAAAUUUGAAACACAUUUUUUUUUAUUGAGAAGACCCGUAAUGAUGAUUCUUGAUCAAGUGUCCGGAAUUUUUUAAGACUUUCCAUACAAGGUUGGUGAUUUGAAAUCGAUUUUUGUUCUAUUUUUAAGCAAAACCUGCCAGCUGUCAGAUGAUCGAAGGUAUUGUAUUCAGCUUUUAUUUUAUGGAAACAGAUUUAAAAUUAGUUGAAAAAAAACGCAAGAUAUUUGAAUUUUAGUAAAUUCAAUAUUUUAAAAAGUUGUAAAACUCGAUAUUGAGCUAAAACUCAAAAACUGCUCUACUUAACAUUUUUUGAAGUACGGUUUCGAAAUCAAUGCUAAAUUGUACUUCAAAAAUUUUGGUCGUUUUUUUUAUCUGUAUUAACGAGAUUUUUAGCCUUAGGCUAGUUCAUCUCGGGACCCACGCUUUACUUCCCUUCCAAAGGAAGAACCCACAUUUUAUGAGUUUUGUCGGGAGUGGGAUUCGAUCCCAGGUCCUCGGCGUGAUAGUCAUGUGUUCUAACCACCACACCAGGUCCGCUCCGGUCGUUGGUAGAAGUUCAGGACUUUUGUUUUAUUUUGUAAACUAGUGUUAUUUUUCUAAUAAAACAUCAAAUUAUACAAAAUUUCAAUAUCGUUUCAAAAAUCAAGAUGCUCAUUAUAAUUCAUUCCAAUUCCCUCUAAUAAAACGUUUUGAAGGAAAGUAACACCAUUGAUAGCCGGCAAUAAAUUGAAAAAGUAAUAGGAUGAAUAUUAAAAAUAAAGCAAUUUACUAAAGAAUCAUAAGUAAAUGAAAUCGCCAUAGCUCUUUCUCUUGUUAAUAAUUUCAAGUUAAGUCAAACGUUUUUCAGAGCUCAUUAUAUAAGUCAUAAAUGGUCAAAUUGCAAUGCAUUCGAUUGAUUGAAUCCGGAGAUAUAACACACAGUAAAACCACUCAGCACUAAAAUGAGUAAGACCUACUCAUAAAUGCAUAAUUUCCAUACCACUCAUAAAAUGUGUAAGAGUUUCACAUUCACAAAAUCUACUCCUGCGUCCACAACAUCGUUAAAGUUGCAAUUUUUUUGUAUGGCAAUCUAGCUAGGUUUACUAGUGACCUUGGCGAAUCCAAAAAUAUAGCCAUUUCGCAUCUAGAAUAGUGUACGAGCAGAUUUUGUGAAUGUAUAACUCUUACACAUUUUACGAGUGGUAUGGAAAUUAGGCAUGUAUGAGUAAGUCUUACACAUUUUAGUGCUAAGCAGUUUUAGCGUGCACCUCAAAGUUGGCUUUCGAAUAAUUCUAUCUUAUCUAGAAUCUUCCUAACUUCGUGCAGAAUAGCCCGAACAUUUUCAAAUUUUGACCACUAAUACACAACUAGUUGAUCAACUUACAGUGAAAAUUUGAGAAUGUUUGAUGCACUUUUCGAAAAGUUACAGCUGAUUGAAUAUUUUUUGAAAAGUGAAAAUUUUGCCUGUCCCUUUCAUUUUGUCUUUCCCUUGUAUAUUGAAUCCGUGGGAUCGAUGGCCCAAUGUCAUCCAGAACGAUGGUAACAGAAAUUUGGGAUUGAAUUGAAGAUGGGUCUGUAACACGGUAACAGACUAAAGACUGGACUCGCGAAAAAAUGAGACACAAAGAAUAAUGUAUAACUUUUGAUUGCGUGCACAAAAAUCGCUGAUUUUUUUUUACCAGGAAUAGUACAUUAUGUGUAACUCAUGCCAUAAAAAUCGGUUCUCAAAAUCGGUUAAGUGUUGGCGGAGAUAUCGUCGAAACAAGAGACUUACCAUUUGAGAAUCUUGGGCGAACAAACACUUUUUUUUACCUAAAACUGUAGAGCCAAAAAUACUGAACUGAUUUUAAUAAAAAAAAAUUCUGUGCAAAAAGUAUGCAUGUAGAAGUAUUGUGCCAAAAUUUCAUUCAAUUUGAUCUAACCGUUAAAAAGUUAUAGGCAUAUAUGUAGCACUAUGUCGCAAUAUGCAGAUGUGGUUUUUGGUAUAGUGACAUUCAAACUGCUCUAACUUUUAAAAUGUUCAACCAAAAUGACUGAAAUUUUCACUGAAAACAGUUUAACACAACAGUUUUACACUGUCAAAGUUUCAUAAAAAUCGGGAUAGUGUUGUCAAUUCUACAGUCAAAAUAGUGCACACUGAUUUUAAAAUGUUACAAUGUGCCCAAAAUUUCAAAAACCCGUUUUUUUUUGUUUGAAUUGUUAAAAAGAAGUACUGAACCGAUUAUAAUAAAUUUUCACCACAUACUUUUCCUUACUUGGAGAACCUAUAGUCGAAUUUUCAGACGUUUUCAUGAGCUAACAACAAAGUUAUAGCCUAAACAAAUUUUAAAAUGGACGCCCAAAAUUUCCAAAAUCACAUUUUAUUGUCUCGACUACCCGAAUAAAAAAUACAGUAGAAAAACCGAACGUUGUAUUGUAACAGUACUAUUUAGAACCAUAUUUUUACAAUAGACACCACUGUAAAAAUAAAAAUACAAAAACAGUAAGAUGUAAUGUAAACACAAUACCGUGAAUUGUAAAUAAGAUUUUUACAAUAUACUAUACGGGUUGUUAAGUAUCGUAACAAUAUAAAAAAUAUUUUUCUCCAUUUAUAUUUUUUUGCAAAACCAUACAUUUUAUUGUUAAUGAAUUGUUCAAAAUACUGAUACGUGGGUUUAAAUAUACCGUACAUUGUAUGGUACAUGAACGGUUUCAAACAAUAAAAUGUACCGUAAAUAAAUUGUUUUUAAUUGUAAUUUCACUACUGGUUAUACAUUUAAUCAAAUGGUUUUGGAAAGGUCCUCUUUUGUUAUGUUGUAUUGUUUUACAUUACAUAAACCAUAUAUUGUUAUAUUGUCUUGUCAUUUUCCUCCUGUUAAUGGCAUCUUAGGCUUAUUAGAUUUAUUAGAAUGCGCUUUGGCAAUUCUUCAGACCGUUUUGGAUAACCCUUCAUAUAUAGGAUCGCCCACGUCUAAGUCUGAGUAGUCUCUGAUUGCAUUAACAGUUGAAGCUUAGGCUCCCAUGCCCCACCAGCCAGGCUUUGCAAACUAAGCAUUAUUUGUGGCAACACUUUGAGCGGCAUGAUGGAACUAUGCCGAACGCGCUAAGUGUUAUUAGACCACUAAUGUAGUUGCAUGAAGUGGGUGACGAGGUACAUAAGUAUCAUUACAGCGUGCUUAACCGUUAUUGCAAUAUUGAGGCACCAGUUUGACUAAAGUUUGAAAUACAUAACAACUCAUGAGAAAACUGUCGAGAAGUUCGAUUCAAAUAUAAGUUAGGUUAAAAACCCGCAGACGAACCUAUAUUAGAAGUCAUUUCAGUGUUCAGUCCAGUCCAUAUGUUAAAGAUGGCUCUACGUCAAAGAUAAAGUUUGUCAACCGCAUUUGAUUCGAUUGUGCUCGAAUGCAAGUUCACAUGAGAGAAGAGGAGAAAACUCCCCUAAAUGCAAAUACAGAAAGAAUAGUGUUGAACUCAUCCACUGAUUUACGGUAAUCUGACCUGCAUCUUUCCGGGUUGGCCUACAUCCGUAUUUCUCUCAUCGCACUCUACACACCUAGCCCGCCAUAUCUCUUGGACCCCUGCUUGGACCUGCAGUUCUUAGGACAUCUGGUUUACCACUGAUUUAAACAUGUUAUUGACUUUAAAUUGAUGUUUAUACUUAUUCACUUUGUUCUCUUUCCUUUCCUUUGCAUCAAAAAAGUCAUCAUCAACAAAACAAAGCACGGAAAAAAUCUUAAACUGGAUAAAUAAUUAAAAAUUCACGGAAAAAUUAUGUUUCGGAAAAGUGAAUGGCUCAAACGUAAGAAAAACAGUAUAAUAUAUUGUUACAUAAAAAUCCAAUGUAAAUGUAUAGUAUAGCGAACCAUUUCAUUACAAUACACUUUAUUGUAACUGGUACACUGUAUGGUGCAGGAAUGGUUUUCACCAAACACCCUAUGGUUAGUUUUUAUCUGGGUGGUGUUAUGUUUGGCGAUAUGUUCUACAGCUGCCUUUUGGCUAAGGUGGAAUCUAAAUCUGUCCUUCAAUUUCUUAGCGAAGCGUGCUUUUACAAAUUGGAAUCAAUUUUGUAAAUUGGGACAGAAACCGAUAAACGCCUAAAAGUAUGCAAUGAUCUAGUAAUAAUUCGUUGGCUAAAAGUACGACCAGUGUUUGAAUUUUAGGUGGAUUUAUCACAUAAGUGAUACUUUAAAAAGAAGGGCUCAAAUAUACAAAACAAAUUCUUCAUAGACACCAAACUUCUAAAAUCAUCUUUUCAGGUGCAAAAUUAUUGGGUUUUGCGAAAUUGGGUCUUAGGGAGUCCUACCGAAAGUACACUCCUGGGACCAAGUUUCAGAUGCAUCUCAUGCCAGAAAGCAGCCUCAGCAUUGUGUUCUUGCGUUGGCCUACCAUUUCAAGUUGUUAAAGAUUUCAGAAUUAUUAUAAAAUACCAGAUUCAUAGACGACUCGCAAAAACAUUGCCCCAGGGAACACUUAUUUCCGGUGCAAAAACAGGUUCAAACAUGGACUUCCGGUUUGGCAACUACUCUUACAUGAAGUACAACUCUUCCCAUCGAUCAUAGUGAAAACCGCUUAUUUUUAUAUUUUACAGAUCCUGAGUAUCAGACGAUUAAAAAAAAGAAGUUUGUCCUGGGGCUUUGAGGGUUAAGGGUUUUUACAAGGAAUCGCUGGCGAUUUAUGUCAAAACUCUUGAAAAAUUUCUAAAGAAACUGGCUUUUAAAGAUACAUUUAGAUAAAAAAAAUGCAGAUCUCAGAUAUUUUAUCUGUUCUAUUCUCAGAUACAAUCUAUUCAUAUAACAGAUAAGUUCUAUGUUGUUCUUUGAGAGGACUCAAUUCUUUAGAAGAAUUUUUCUCAGAAAUUUUGAAAAUACCUUCUUCUGAUUUUCAACUUGCAGUUUUUCUUCCGUUUUAAAGUCAGUAAUUGCAAGAAUUCAAUGUACCUUUUUAUAAAUUUAUCCAGUACACGUUACACAGAAAACACUUCAAGAGUUCCUCCCAAUAUUUCUUCAUCAAUUCAUAAUUCCAUAAAAAAAAUACAUCAGAUAUUCUUCCGAGACGAUUGAAUUAUUAAUCUGCCGCUCUACGCUCAAUUAUGCGUAGAGCGGCACUAAUGCUUUUAGUAAUUAUUCCGAUUUUUUUUAAUGCCACUAUACGAGAUUGUUAGUAUGAUGGCUUUGAUGAUUGUAGGGAGCUUGUGUAUGAACUCAUUCUGAAAUUACUAUUAAUAAUCCCCUACUAGCGAAUUAAGGAAUUAUUUCAAAAAGUUUCAAUGAAAACAUUAAUUGCAAACUUGUCCCAAAGCUCAGCCAGAUAGUUCGGUAAAAAAUCCUACUACAAGGAACUACUACAUAAAAAAGCUGGAUGAAAUCUUUAAGCUUUAAAAUCUGUAAAAUUAUGUCACUAAUUUCUCCUUGGACUCAGUCAGAAAAUCCUUUUCAAAGUUCGUCGACAUACAAAAUCUCACCGACAAAAAUUCUCUGAUUACCACCAGAAUUCCAGGGGGUUCCAGCUAAAAUAAAUUUCCUCAAUUUUUCUGGCAAUAGACAGUCGAAACUACGUAAACUGGGUGAUUCCUCGAUUAAGUAUACUCGAAUUGGAAUUCUCAACAAAUAGCUUUGUGAGUGAUUCUAUGGAAAAUCAUUGAAAGAAUUUCCAACGGAAUACAUACUCUUCUAGUAAAAAUAAUAGUUUUUUUGCUAAUGAUUUUGAUGAUUUCUGGUUAUCUUUAUAAUUAAGCUAUGAUUAAUUAUGUAUCAGUAGGUCUGCUUCGGAGGCACGUUCUCCACUAUUCAGGAAAUUUGUACCAAGUAACAAACUAUUUUUUUAAGAAAAUGUUGGAGAAGUAGUCUAUGGCGUUUCUUAUAAAAUCAUUCAAAAUUUGACUACCAAAUAUUUUUGCGAUUUUUUUACGUUUUUUAGAGUAGGGUUUGUUUAGUCGUUCAAAACUUCAUUUUAAGAAAAUUGUGAUUUUAAAAAUGUUUGUGUCAAAAUUUAAGAUCUAACCGUUGACUCGACCAUCCGGACAUGGAUAACCUGUCGCUCGGAUAAUCUCUAUCAAACAAGAAAUAACUCGUACUUCAGAAACCAAAAUGCUCAUCUGCAUCAUUUGGAUGUUGAAACUACUGCGUGAGGCUUCUGAAACUGUGUAAAUAUCUGGAUUUGAAGUGAGUCAAGUGCUAAAUCUAGGUUUGAGUUUAAAUUCUGGAAGCGUCACACAUCAUUUUAAAAAUUCCCGAUCAUAAACAAAAUUCCCGACUUUUUCCCGCAUUUCCCGAGUCUAUGGCCACCCUGCUGUCCCUAUCAUUUUGUCUUUCCCUUGUAUAUUGGAUCGCCCAAUGUCAUCCAGAACGACGGUAACAAAAAUUUGGGAUUGAAUUGGAGAUGGGUCGGCAACACGGUUACAGACUACGGCUGAAAUCUACUGAUCAAAUAUCCCAGCACAGGACAUCACAAAUAAAAUAAGACGGACAAAAUUCGACUUCACAGUAGGUUAAGGCAAUGGUCAAAAGUUUUUAAAAAUUAUUAAAUUAGUUAAUUUAUAAUAAUAGCAAUGAUGUACCAUAUUCGCAGAUGGUGGUCGUUCAAGCAUCGUGCCCUGCAGAAUUCUAAAAAGAAAGAAUCUCAACAGGUUUCCGGUUGAAUUACAAGAAAGAAAGGUACAACCAAGUAUGGGACAAACCAACAGAAGAAAUUAGCGAUGAUAGACUCACACAAAUACUAAAUAUUCCACCUAUGUACAUGUAAUCUCAUGUUAAUGAGUCAUACACAUAACAAACAAACACACAUCUUAAAGUCGACUAAUAAUUCUCGUGCGCAAAGACACAAACAAGAUCCACCGAAGCGAAUCAGGUGAUCAAGCAAUUGAAGUAAUGAACACGUCACGAUCACACGGUACGCAAUCAAUUGGCAAAAUGUGCUUGUGGGUCUUACAUGUGGGUACAGCUGCUGCCGUAACCGCCGCCAGCCAAACCGUCCCUCAGAGAUCUCCUGCAGGCUGCACCCGAGAAAACAAAACACUAUCUAUAGUGAGUGGUAUACAGCACAAUACAACGACCACGACGACCUUGUUUCUCUUUUCAGCCCCACCACCGCGCCACACUUACAGCUUUGUCUGCGAAAUCUCGGCCGCCGCGCCCCGCGCAUGGUGGGUGCAUUAUUUAAACUCAUUAAAGCCCCAAUGCUUUUACCCGAAUCCGCCAAUUUCCGUGUUUUGUCGGAUGAAAUUUCACUUUUCUCUUUGCGUUUUGCUGCUUCUGUUUCUCGGUACACAGGUACCAACGCCUGAUUUGUACACUUGCGCGAUGUUACGUUGGGCAGUAUCGAGUUCGGUUAUUUGAUAAUGGGGAAGAGAUCUUUUUCAUAACGAUCAAUAAUUAGCUGACGAAGGUGCGGUGCUAUUGCAUUAUAGAUUUGGAGAUUAUCGCAACACACUUGGUUGAAAUGGAUCAGUAAGCUAGAACAGUCUCUGAAAUACCUUCCGAGAGUACUAUAUUCAAUAACAGCUCACAUGCCUACAUUAAAAAGCAAUUAACGAUUAAGAUUACAAUUCCGUUAUCAGUGAGACUGCUUAAGGUCACUGGAUUUCGGUGGAAACAAAUGAUGACUGUAUUUACUGAUAACAAGGCUCGCUGUUUUACCACUGGACCAGCCCCAUAGUAUAGUUUGAUUUCAUUUCAAUGAAUGCUGCAACUGCAACUCGGCAACGCAAUGGUAAUUCGACUCCUAGUUAUUCAACCGAUGUAUGCGCCAAGAGUUCCUGUUUAUCUAGAGAGUGGCGAUGGAUAGGAAACUGAAAUGCAUACAAAAUAGCAAGUAUCAGUUCAAUCACCAAGCUGAUUUACGGCACAAUUUAAAACAAUCAAUCGGCCAAGAAACUCUAAUCUGUUUCCUUUGAAACUCGGUACAGGGUGGACGGACAUAGUAGGAUCUCAGUAUUAAAAAAAACUCAAGGUGCUCAAUACAUGACCGAUGUUAAGCUCGGUGGGACUAA